RNAcentral lists this ribosomal RNA (320 nucleotides) under Vibrio sp. HR11-21. RNAcentral describes it as "bacterial SSU rRNA". It matches the Rfam family "Bacterial small subunit ribosomal RNA", at positions 1119 to 1439 of the family's 1533-position model. The record is from RNAcentral. Lineage: Bacteria; Pseudomonadati; Pseudomonadota; Gammaproteobacteria; Vibrionales; Vibrionaceae.
CAGCACGUAAUGGUGGGAACUCCAGGGAGACUGCCGGUGAUAAACCGGAGGAAGGUGGGGACGACGUCAAGUCAUCAUGGCCCUUACGAGUAGGGCUACACACGUGCUACAAUGGCGCAUACAGAGGGCNNCCAACCAGCGAUGGUGAGCGAAUCCCAAAAAGUGCGUCGUAGUCCGGAUUGGAGUCUGCAACUCGACUCCAUGAAGUCGGAAUCGCUAGUAAUCGUGAAUCAGAAUGUCACGGUGAAUACGUUCCCGGGCCUUGUACACACCGCCCGUCACACCAUGGGAGUGGGCUGCAAAAGAAGUGGGUAGUUAAC